Molecule: ribosomal RNA, 446 nt
Filed under: uncultured bacterium
Lineage: Bacteria
Description: bacterial SSU rRNA
Rfam family: Bacterial small subunit ribosomal RNA
Source: RNAcentral
CUCCCAGACUCCUACGGGAGGCAGCAGUGGGGAAUAUUGCACAAUGGGGGAAACCCUGAUGCAGCAACGCCGCGUGAGUGAAGAAGUAUUUCGGUCUGUAAAGCUCUAUCAGCAGGGAAGAAAAUGACGGUACCUGAGUAAGAAGCCCCGGCUAACUACGUGCCAGCAGCCGCGGUAAUACGUAGGGGGCAAGCGUUAUCCGGAUUUACUGGGUGUAAAGGGAGCGUAGGCGGAGGUGCAAGUCAGCGGUCAAAUUGCGGGGCUCAACCCCGUACUGCCGUUGAAACUGCAUCCCUUGAGUGCGCGAGAAGUAUGCGGAAUGCGUGGUGUAGCGGUGAAAUGCAUAGAUAUCACGCAGAACUCCGAUUGCGAAGGCAGCAUACCGGCGCGCAACUGACGCUGAAGCACGAAAGCGUGGGUAUCGAACAGGAUUAGAUACCCUUGUA